This 1072-nucleotide long non-coding RNA is filed under the name Homo sapiens (human). RNAcentral's name for it is "HSALNT0291361". Lineage: Eukaryota; Metazoa; Chordata; Mammalia; Primates; Hominidae. The record is from RNAcentral.
GUUUCACUGUGUUGGCCAGUAUGGUCUCGAUCUCCUGACCUCGUGAUUCGCCUGCCUCGGCCUCCCAAAGUGCUGGGAUUACAGGCGUGAGCCACCAUGCCUGGCCCAACUUCUUGAUUUUAUGACAAGAUAGAAACUACAACUAAAAACAGCUAGAAAAUGAUGAAAAUGAAAAAACACAUGGUUGACCAAGCUGACUUUAGAGGAAAGUUCAUAGCCUUAAGCACUUCCAUUAAAAGAAUGAAAAUAUAUGCAACACACAUUCAAUACUAGAGUUAACUUCUAUUUUCUUUUUUUUUUUUUUUUUUGAGACGGAGUUUCACUCUUGUCGCCCAGGCUGGAGUGCAAUGGCACGAUCUUGGCUCACUGCAACCUCUGCCUCCUGGGUUCAAGUGAUUCUCCUGCCUUAGCCUCCUGAGUAGCUGGAAUUACAGGCACCCACCACCACACCUGGCUCAUUUUUUUUGUAUUUUUAGUAGAGAUGGGGUUUCACCAUGUUGGCCAGGCUGGUCUUGAAUUCUUGACCUUGUGAUCCGCCUGCCUUAGCCUCCCAAAGUGUUGGGAUUAUAGGCGUGAGCUACCGUCCCCAGCCUAUUUUCUCUCUUUUUUGAAACGGAGUUUCUCUCUUGUUGCCCAGACUAGAGUGCAAUUGCACGAUCUCAGCUCACUGCAACCACAGCCUUUGGGGUUCAAGCUAUUCUCCCGUCUCAGCCUCCCGAGUAGCUGGUAUUACAGGCAUGUGCCACCACGCCCGGCUAAUUUUAUAGUUUUAGUAGAGACGGGGUUUCUCCAUGUUAGUCAGGCUGGUCUUGAACUCCCGACCUCAAGUGAUCUGCCCGCCUCGGCCUCCCAAAGUACUGUGAUUACAAGUGUGAGCCACUGCGCCAGGCCUGUUUUCUCUUUUUUAAGGUGGAAAUCAAUAAAUUAGGGCCGGGCAUGGUGGCUUAUGCCUGUAAUCCCAGCACUUUGGGAGGCCAAGGUGGGCGGAUCACCUGAGGCCAGCAGUUCGAGACCAGGUUGGCCAACAUGGUGAAACCCCUUCUCUACUAAAAAUACAAAAAUUAACUGGGCA